CCCGCCUGGGCCCUACCGCCGCACGGCCCCGGCCCCCUCCCAGCCUGCCGCUCCGGAGAGCCGCCCGCCGAGGAUGCGACGCACCGCAGUGUUCUAAGAACGGAAGCAUCUGGGCUGGAUGGAAUUUAGCAUCAAGCAGAGUCCCCUUUCUGUUCAGAGUGUUGUAAAGUGCAUAAAGAUGAAGCAGGCACCAGAAAUCCUUGGCAGUGCCAACGGGAAGACUCCGAGCUGCGAGGUGAACCGCGAGUGUUCUGUGUUCCUCAGCAAAGCCCAGCUCUCCAGUAGCCUGCAGGAGGGGGUCAUGCAGAAGUUUAACGGCCACGACGCCCUGCCCUUUAUUCCAGCCGACAAGCUGAAAGAUCUUACUUCCCGGGUGUUUAAUGGAGAACCCGGCGCACACGAUGCCAAACUGCGUUUUGAGUCCCAGGAAAUGAAAGGGAUUGGGACACCCCCUAACACUACCCCUAUCAAAAAUGGCUCUCCAGAAAUUAAGCUGAAAAUCACCAAAACAUACAUGAAUGGGAAGCCUCUUUUUGAAUCUUCCAUUUGUGGUGACAGUGCUGCUGAUGUGUCUCAGUCAGAAGAAAAUGGACAAAAACCAGAAAACAAGGCGAGAAGGAACAGGAAGAGGAGCAUAAAAUAUGACUCCUUGCUGGAGCAGGGCCUUGUCGAAGCAGCUCUUGUGUCUAAGAUCUCAAGUCCUUCAGAUAAAAAGAUUCCAGCUAAGAAAGAGUCUUGUCCAAACACUGGAAGAGACAAAGACCACCUGUUGAAAUACAACGUUGGUGAUUUGGUGUGGUCCAAAGUGUCGGGUUACCCUUGGUGGCCUUGCAUGGUUUCUGCAGAUCCACUCCUUCACAGCUAUACCAAACUUAAAGGUCAGAAAAAGAGUGCACGCCAGUAUCACGUACAGUUCUUUGGUGACGCCCCAGAAAGAGCUUGGAUAUUUGAGAAGAGCCUCGUAGCUUUUGAAGGAGAAGGACAGUUUGAAAAAUUAUGCCAGGAAAGUGCCAAGCAGGCACCCACGAAAGCUGAGAAAAUUAAGCUAUUGAAACCAAUUUCAGGGAAAUUGAGGGCCCAGUGGGAAAUGGGCAUUGUUCAAGCAGAAGAAGCUGCAAGCAUGUCAGUGGAGGAGCGGAAAGCCAAGUUCACCUUUCUCUAUGUGGGGGACCAGCUUCAUCUCAACCCUCAAGUAGCCAAGGAGGCUGGCAUUGCUGCAGAGUCUUUGGGAGAAAUGGCAGAAUCCUCAGGAGUCGGUGAAGAAGCUGCUGAAAACCCCAAGUCUGUGAGAGAAGAGUGCAUUCCCAUGAAGAGAAGGCGGAGGGCCAAACUGUGUAGCUCUGCAGAGACCCUGGAGAGUCACCCCGACAUAGGGAAGAGUACUCCUCAAAAGACGGCAGAGGCUGACCCCAGAAGAGGAGUAGGGUCUCCUCCUGGGAGGAAGAAGACCACAGUCUCCAUGCCACGAAGCAGGAAGGGAGAUGCAGCAUCCCAGUUUUUGGUCUUCUGUCAAAAACACAGGGAUGAGGUCAGUACUAAGUUGUGUUUCAUGCUAGCAAGUUUCAGAAUUUGAGGAACAUCCCUUCAGUGCAGAAUCAUCUGUUUCUCAGCAUUAUCAGGCGACUCUAACAUGAGCCUUGCAUAGAUUUUAGAUCUAAUAAAUAAGUAUUAUUAGGGAACAGCCAUUCUGACCCUUGAGGGAAAAGAUACUCGACUUGCACUCUGGGUUCUUAAAAUAUCCUUCCUAAUGUGGAUAAGAAGAUACCGAGAACAGGCCAGGCACAGUGGCUCAUGCCUGUAAUUUCAGUACUUUGGGAGGCCAAGGUGGGAGGAUUGCUUCAGCUCAGGAGUUUGAGACCAGCCUGGGCAACAUGGUGAAACCCCAUCUCUACAAAAAUUAGCCGGGUGUGGUGGCACAUGCCUGUAGUCCCAGCUGCUUGGGAGACUGAGACAGGAGGAUCCCUUGAGUCCUGAAGGUGGGGUUUGUAGUGAGUCGUGAUGGCAUCACUGCACCGUAGCCUGGGUGACAGCAGAGCGAGACUGUGUCUCAAAAAAAAAAAAAA
RNAcentral lists this small RNA (2063 nucleotides) under Pan troglodytes (chimpanzee). RNAcentral's name for it is "retained intron". Lineage: Eukaryota; Metazoa; Chordata; Mammalia; Primates; Hominidae. The record is from RNAcentral.